RNAcentral lists this long non-coding RNA (6628 nucleotides) under Brassica napus (rape). RNAcentral describes it as "long non-coding RNA (BNAP_LNC013732)". Lineage: Eukaryota; Viridiplantae; Streptophyta; Magnoliopsida; Brassicales; Brassicaceae. The record is from RNAcentral.
CGCAUUUGUCCAUGGCAAAUGGAUCAUCUGAAACUACACACUGAAGAGGGCAAUUAUACUGAGAUACACAGAGUGAUUUAUGUUUCAAACAUUACAAAUCCAAAUAGGAAUAUUUGGGUAUUGGUAAGUAGAAAAAAAUGCGCAGUGAAGAGAGAUUCAAGGACCAGGUGGAACUGAGGUACAUGCCUCUGAAGAUGCUUCUUCCCUUUGCUCCACAGUGUCUCUCAAGAGCUUUCAUCUACAGAUACAAUAAAGGUUGUGUUUUCUUAUCUAUAUUAGAAUUGGCCAAAGAGUAGAGAAUUUGAACGUCAAUAUCAACGGAAGUGUCUGAAUUUUCAGUAGCCUGGCUAAUAAAAGAGACCCUACACUAUUUUCAUGUCUCCUAUUAUCCUAUGUAUAGACAAAAUAAUAUACUACAUAAUAUAUAAAUUUUUUUUUUUUGUGCACCAUCGAAAUUUUUUCAUUAAAACUAAACCAAGACCGGUUCAAUGGUCUGGGUCAGAACAAAGUUUGAUAGAGAGUUUUUUGCAGCAGAGUCCUCAAAACAGAGUGUCUCUCGGCGACAAAAACUAAACGAUACAAAAUCAAAGGAAAUUGAAAGGAGAUAGAUAUCAGAGAGGAUGCCGUGAAGAUCAGAGAAGCUUGAUCCAUCUGCAAUUGCCGUCACCAAUUGCAGAGAGUCAGAUUCAAAGACCACCCGUCUCAUCUGAAGGGCAACAGCUUGUUCCAUUGCUGCGCGCAGUGCUAGUCCUUCUGCCAUGAGGGACGAAUUCACAAACGCUACUGGUUGAUCGUGGGAGCUAAAGCGCUCCUUUUGGUUACGGUAGAAACUCCAAGCAAGACCCGCGGCCUGUAGAUCUUUCCUCCACGCUGCAUCUGAUUUACAGGUAAUCUCAGUUGUCGAUCUGUUGGGUUGGAUCUUCCUCCUCUGCUCACAAAUCUUGACUGGUACUUGGGCUGUCGCCCACUCUUUAGCAUCAUAGAUUGCUUUGGUUACUGUUUCUUGAGCAGAGAAAGUUCUGUUUUGAAAUAAUUUUUGGUUUCUUGCUUUCCAUAUGGCCCAGAUGAUCCAGGGAGCUAGAAUGGCAUUUCCGAGACCAAUAGGAGGGAGGACUACUGUUCGGAGUAGCCUUUUCCAUUCCAGGUCAAAAUCGUUCAGAGGCAUUGGAUUGAACCCGCCAGAGAAAGGUACCAAUUCCCAUACUUUUAACGCAUAGGGACAUUGGAAAAAUAGAUGAGAAAUAGAUUCAUGGCUUUCACAGUGAAUGCAUUUGGUACCUGAUAGGACUUGUCUAGCUUCGAGCCUAUCUCCGACUGGUAGUGCUCUAUGUUUGAUCUUCCAAAUGAACAAUUUGAGCUUAGGAGAAGUAGUUAGUUUCCAUAUCUCUGGUAGCCAGUCGCUCGAAUUCCUAGGGUUCUGUUCAGGGGUGAUUUGUUUCCUCUCGACCGCUGUAUAGUAACCAGUCUUUGUAGUAUAGGAUCCUGACUUGUGUCGCAGCCAGAUUUGCUUGUCUUCUCCCCCCCAUUUGCUGGUCUUUAUACUUAGGAUCUUAUCUCGGAGCAGGGGAAAGUGAUUUUCGAUCAUCUGUCCAUUCCACUCUUUGGUUUCCGUAGAGAUUAGCUCUGCGACUUUCAGGGAACUCUGAUGCUCGGGAGUUGGUCCCAUUGGUCGUACUGGUGCUAUUAGAGAUAGCCAUGCAUCAUCCCAAGCCAAGACUUUUUCACCAUUGCCAAUGGCCCAUCCUAGUUGCUCUUUUAGGAGGUCUCUCCCUAUCAGUAUUCCUCUCCACCCAUGUGAGCAGGAGCUAGGGGCUGAUACUUGCAUGAAGUCUUGAUCGUGACAAUAUUUGCCUUUAAGUACUCGGGCAAGCAAACAUGAAGGGGAUUCUAGCAUGCGCCAACUGAGCUUUGCUAGUAGAGCAUCGUUGAAACAUUGGAUAUCCCUGAAACCCAACCCUCCCUCUUGUUUUGAUUUGAUCAUAGUAUCCCAUGCGAUCCAAUCCAUCUUUUUCUCUCCUGUAUUAGAGUCCCACCAAAAUCGAGUCAAAACAGAUUGGAUCCUCUUGCACAAGGAUAGUGGGAGUUUAAAGCUUUGCAUUGCGUGGUUAGGCAUAGGAGAUAGCACACUCUUCAACAGAGUCAUCUUCCCCGCUGAGGAUAAAAAUCUGUUAGUCCACCCUUUUGCUCGUUGUCUGAUCUUAUCAACUAUUGAGGUGAAGAGAUCCUUUUUCUUGCGUCCAAAGUGCUCAGGUAGGCCUAAAUAUUUCCCAGAGCCCCCCUCAUUCACGAUCUGAAGUUCCGCUUGCACUCUAUCUCGGAUUGUCUGCGGGGUCUUAUGUGAGAAGGUAAUACCCGACUUCAACUGGUUGAUCUUCUGUCCCGAGGCCCGUUCGUACCUGGCCAGAAUUCUUUGGAGAGUUGCUACACUCCGUUUGUUGGUUCUACAGAAGAAGAGUGUGUCAUCAGCAAACAACAGGUGGUUCACUCUUGGACUGUUUGUGGCCACUUUGAUGCCUUGGAGCUUUUUAUCCUCCUGUGCUUUCCUGCAUAAACCCGAGAGCACUUCGCUGCACAGAAUGAAAAUAUAGGGAGACAGCGGAUCUCCUUGCCUAAUGCCCCUCUCUGGUUUGACCCAUCCUUGCUCAGAUUCAUUGAUUAAAAAAGAGUAGGAGACGGUUUUGACACAUUGCAUGAUCCACUCAAUCCAGAUUACGUGGAAGCCAAGGUGGAUCAUAACUUCUUCAAUGAAAUCCCAUUCUAAGCGAUCGUACGCCUUACUCAUAUCAGUUUUCACUGCCAUGGAGCACCGUUUAGAAGCUGUUGACGUUUUUAGGAAAUGAAGGACCUCGUGGGAGAUGAGGAUGUUGUCAGUUAUAGCUCUUCCUUGGACAAAAGCAGAUUGGUUUUCAGAAACCAAGUCAGGAAGUAGCGUUUUGAACCUGUUGGCCAAUAGUUUAGAGAUUAUUUUGUAAUAGACAUUGCAUAGCGCAAUUGGUCUAUAAUCUCCAACUGAUUUGGCCUCAGUAUUCUUGGGUAUUAAUCUGACUAGGGUGUGAUUAAGUGAUCUCGGCAUUACACCGGAAGAGAAAAACUCUUGGAUUUCAGCUACAAUGUCUGGCCCAACGGUACUCCAGUUUGCUUGGAAGAAACUUGCUGAGAACCCAUCCGGACCAGGAGCUUUGUCCGGAUGAAUAGCAAGUAACGCCAAGUGUAUUUCAGAAGCUGGUGGGAUGGUAAUGAGUUUUUGAUUGAUCUCAGGGGGUACUUUAUUGGUGAGCGCCUCUCUCACUAUCUGUCUUCUUUGGCCCGGUAUGGAGAUGAACAGAUUCUUGAAGUAGUCAACUAUCGUUUCUGUGAUCUCCUUCUCUGUAAAUACCGGGUUCCCUUCUGCAUUUUCCAUGACUGAGAGGUUGUUAAUUGCUCUGCGCCCCUUAGUUACCGCAUGAAAAUAUCCUGAGUUUCUAUCCCCUAGGCUCAGCCACAAAUUUCUGCUUCUCUGCUUCCAGAAAGCUUCCUCAGCAAGGUAAGCCGCUUUAAGAUCAGAGUUUAUCCUAUUUAACAGAGAAUCAUCAUUUGAGGUACUUGUCAUCGCUUUCUCAAGCUCCUCUUUCCACUUGUUAAUGAGUAGCUUGCUGUUCCUUUGUUGUUCCUUGUUCCACUGAACCAGCGCUGAUCUCACCAUGCCAAUUUUUGUUUGAACUGACCUUUUUCCUGCUUUCUUCCAUAUUUGUUGUACUAAGGCUUUGACUUCAGGGUUUUCUCUGAGUCUUCGAUCAAAUCUAAACAGCCCUUUUCCUUUUUUCCUAGUUAGAUCGAAGCAGGUUAAGAUCGGCCUAUGGUCAGAACCCUCAUAAUUUAGAUACUCAACACUUCCAGAAUGAAAGAUAUCAAACCAAUGGCUGUUUGCCACUGCCCUGUCCAGACGACAGCGCACAACUCCUUCUGUCCAUACCCCUCUCCAGGAGAGAAAAUCUCCUGUGUGUGGUAGAUCAUAGAGAUCACACUCUGACAUGAAGGUCCUAAAGUCCACAAAAGACCCCUCUGCUCUAACUCGGCCCCCUUCUUUUUCUUGGUUGGUAAGUAUAUCGUUGAAAUCCCCAGUAAUGAACCAGGGGGAGUCACGAGAAAGAGUGAGAGCUGUAAGUUCCUCCCACAUUUGUCUUCUCACAAUAUAAUCUGUAUCCGCGUGAAUAAAGGUUGCGAAAAAACUCUUAUUCUCAUACAUUAUUUCGGUAUCAAUGUAGUGUUUACAGGAGAAUAAGAUAGUAACACUGAUUCCUUGUUUCCAGAGCAGGGCUAAGCCUCCAGCUCCGUGCCCUGUAGGAGGUACCAGAUGGGAGUUUGGAUAAGCCAACGAUGCACAUUUACGGAGAACAAAGUCGUUGGAGUUCUUUGUCUCUGUGAGGAAUGUAAUGUCAGGAGAGAAUUUCUUGUGGAUCUCUCCAAGUCUCUGGACUGUCUGGGGAUUCCCCAACCCCCGACAGUUCCAGCUCACAAUCUUUAAGGAAUUGGAGCGGGCGGAUUCUGAAAAUCCACCUUCCUCUUUGCAAUGCCCGGAAUAAUCUGUACUGUCGGCUGAGAAUUGUUUGCACUGCCCCCUCUCCUGGUACUGGUAGGUCUACUGGAAACAGGACCUCUAGUAGAUGAAGUUGGAACACUUCUUCUUUUUGGAGAUAUCUUGACUUGGGCGACUUUUCUCUUCUUGGAGCUAACACCGGUAUUCACUCCUAAGGGCUUAGGUUGGUUCCUACUCAGGGGGGGGUCUGCCUAGACGUUUUUUAACUGUUAUUCUUGGUGUAUCAGCCUCAGGAGUGAUAAUCGUCUCUUGAGUAGCUCCCAACCUAGAUAACACAGAGAUUCUUUCCGCAGAGGUCUGUACAUCAGACAUUCUUCUAUCACCCUCUGGUUCAGUCGCAUCCACUGUAUCUUGAUCAUGCAGUGACCCCAGCCUAGAUAGCGCGGGAAUUCUUUCUACGAUGGUCUGGGUCUCCGCGGUUCUCCGAGCUCCUUCAGCAGAAACAGUAGCCUCAAUAGCCAUAUUCAUGAUCACUUGUUCUGUUUCUCCAUUUUCCUCAGCAUAUCUCAUUCUUUCUCUUCGAGCAGCGCUCUCUGAAGGAUCAGCUCCAUUAACAUAUUGGAUCAUUACUUCGCGAAGUUCCUCCCUAGCUUCUCUAAUUGCUUCUUCAGGGACCGGAACUCUAGAUGUGUUUUGAUAGUCAGAUUGAGUGCUACGCUGAGGGGAUACCGGUCUCUCCUGCCUUUGCGCAGAGGAAAGGUGUUCUGAAUUUGCGUUGCGGGAGCAAUCCAGUCUCUUUUGACUCUGGCUAAGGGCGUUUGUCUCAGGAGGGUGAGAUGUGCCUGAGUAGUGUGCUCGUCUGCCAGUUUCUACCCACCGAGAUCCAAUUUGUCUAUAGUUUGAGACUUGCGCAGAGUUGGAGUGUCGGGGGUAGUAGUUUAGAGAUCUUGAAUAAGAUUCAUUAGUAUGUGCUCUCUUACUUGCCACGUAACGAGUCUUAUUUUCAUUAUCACGGUAGGAAUGUGAGCGAGUUCCAUAGUCAGCUCUUCUAGCAUCCCUCAUGAACCCAGAUGCUUGGCGAGAGAUUCCCCUUUGGUUGGGGUGUUGUGCAUGCUGAUUGGAUCCAUUUUUACGGUAAUCUGCCAUUUCUUCCGCCUUAGUUUUAAGAUCGUUUUGAUGUUCUGUCUCCUGUGGGUUUUGACCUGGAUUUUGUGGACAGUCAUUGUACUCAUGAUCAAGUUUCUUGCAUGUUGUGCAGAAUUUUUCCAACUUUUCAUAGACCAGAACCACGGUGACUUCAUCACCGUUUUUGAAAUCUAGAGUAGUCUUGAAAACGAGGGGUUGGAGGCCGUUGAUGUGUACUCUGAACCUUGCCUUGGAGGCAGUAAUUUCCCAACUUUCAAAGGUUCCAAUAUCACCUGCAAUGCUUCUAAGGAUGGCCUCGUUCCAAAGAUGCAGAGGUAAGUCUUGAACUUGGACCCAAAAAGGUAUCUGAGAAGGGAAUCUUGGUGAGACUGAAGGUUCCCAUUGUUGUAGGAUGAGCAUCCAUUUGGCGAAAUGAUAUGGCCUAUUGUCAAGGACAUUUUGUAGAUCUUCCGCUGAGGCAAAUUGAAACUGGAAUCUUCCUUGUCCCAGAUCAGAACCAAAAGGUCUUGAGUUGCAUUUCCACAGGUCUGAGAGGAAAGGAAUAAGGGACCACAUUCGCUGAUGCUUGGGGUUGGUAACUCUUCCUAUAAGAGUGAGCUCAUGCUUCUUUAUCAGCUCUGAGUUAUCAAAAUCAGGUACACUAACCCUACCUCUCCUUGGUGGUGAUGCAUUAUUUGCUAAGCCUUUUCCUUUUUCUGUUGAGGUUAGUCUUCUAGCCAUGGUGGUAGCUGUAGAUUUGAUCUUGCUUGAAAGAGAUAAGGGUUCUCCGCAAAGCGGGAAAGUUCUUAGAAACUAGAGUUCUAGAAAGUUGUUUGCUUAAACAUGUAACCUGUCCAUAUAGCGAAAGUUUCAUGAUAAGAGAGGAGGUCAUACCGGAGGGAGCAGCGGACCCGUCGACCGGAGUCGAGGGCUAGAACCCGGUGGGCAAUAGAUCAGAAGAGGGGAUUAUCCUUUGGAUAUUACUGA